This is a long non-coding RNA of Gallus gallus (chicken), 1868 nucleotides long. Lineage: Eukaryota; Metazoa; Chordata; Aves; Galliformes; Phasianidae. The record is from Ensembl.
UGACAAAGGAGAUGGGCCACUUUGAAAUUACCAGUAAGCAGAAUAUUUGGAGUGAAUCUCUUCUGCACAGCUGGGAAGGCAUUGAGACACAAGAAGACCAACUGAACUGCUGUAUGAUACCGCAUUAUCCAAGUCAGUCUAACAGGGAGACCGUGGGAAUGGAUGGACCUCAUGCUGGAUGCCUACAUGGAUGUGGGGGUUCCAGGCCCUUUUGGGAAGUGCAAUGCUGCAAAGGAUUUAGUACAUCACUGAAGUCAAACAUGGCUACGAAUCAGAUUCACUGCGUGUGACAGAAGACGAGUAAGCUAAGCUCUGUUUCGGUGCUCUUGGAUGAGGUGACAUCACUUAUGUACUAUCUGAACCAUCUGAAACGUCUCUAAUAAUGAUAAAAGCAUUUUAGGCUGGAAAAGAUCCUGAAGAUCAUUGGGUCCAGUCAUCCACCUAACUACCAAGUCCAGCACUUAACAGAAGGUAAAUUUCUAUGUCCAUUUAGAUACAGACUGAUUUGCAUGUAAUUGCCACUGAUGCGGUGGGAUGCACUGGGUUAAGACCAGGUUAGAAACUUGACAAAAUGUGUGGCAAAUUGUUUGGACUAUAGCAAAAGGUGUAAGCUGUUGGGAGCUUUGCCCAUGUUUCAUCUGCAACAGGCUGAGGUUCUCCAUCCUCUAACCUGUACUACAAGUUAUCUGUCCCAAUAAAUGAACAUUUUGAUUUCCUGAAAAAAAAAAAAGCCAGUAACAAUGAAUCCCGUUUCAGCUGAAGAAUUGAGUAAUUUCCCCAAAAUCUUGAAAGCAGAAACUUAUCAACACAACGCCCUGCCAUGUCCACAAUUUGAAAGGCCCCUGCCUGAUCUGGCAAAGCUGAUGAUUUCAGAGGAGCUCUAUUGCUUGGAGUAGCUCCAUUUUGAAGCAUCCACUUUGAGGUACAGUAAGCCUCAUCCUAUGAGCACACAGUGAUCAUGGAUCAAGCUGAAGUCACAGCGAGGAGAAAAUGGCCAUCAGUUUCAAAAACUCAGGUGUGAACAACUCGAACAGAUGUUUCUAAAACAUCAUUCUGAAAAUCUGGAACUCUUUGCACAGGAGAACUGAAUGGUCACCACGCAGGACAUGAAGUUAUUCCCACUCAAUCCAGCCAGAAUCUCACAGUGAUGCAAAUUUAUUUGUUAAGGCUGGGUGCUCAUCCAAGUUGGGUCAGCAUCAGUUUGCACAAUAUGGGGAUCUACUACUUGACCAUUAGGCAUUGCCUCUUUCCACUCUGACACAGUUUCUUCCUGGGAGAACAAGGGGAUUUACUAUCUCGGGAUUUCUGAGGACUGGAGCUGGCUGAGCAUUCCUCAUGGCCCUGAGUUAUAUGGGAAUUUAGCAAGCCUCUCUUCUCAGGCAGCAGAUCCCUCAUCUCAAGAAAUCUCUUGAUUAAACUGUCAAGCUCUGCGACGGGCAGCUGAAGGGAGCAACAGAUUUUGAAGAAAUAUUUUUGAUUAUUCCCAGCAUGGACAGAACGAUGACAUACAGAGGGUCUAGCAAACUUGCCUGGCAGGCAGUUGUGGCUUUGUAUGUAAAUAUAAACAUAUAUUUACAUAUUUCCUAACAUCUGUUUUGAAUUUGUGUUCCCUUUAGUUCUAUUUAAAGUACAUCUUGUCCUAUUAUCUCUGAGGCUGAAAUUUGGAGGGCUCUGCUAAUAAACUCUAACACUGCAAAGCAACAAGACACAUUCUCCUCCUCCCUGUCUUUCCAACCAGUUCUUUUACAGCUGUUCCUCACUUGUAUUCCAUAGUGCAACAGCAUCACCCAGCCUGUGGAAGGAGCACGGUUUCCUAAGCAGAUUCAAAUCUGGGAGUGUACUGUGAGAAAUGGUGCUCAAUGUCAAAA